CGCUUUGAUAAUGCUGGGAUGUGAUGGGGAGCGAAAUUUAGUAGCGAAGUAGCUGAUUUCACACUGUCAAGAAAAGUCUCUAUCGAGGUUAAAGGUACCCGUACCGCAAACCGACACAGGUGGGUGAGGAGAGUAUCCUAAGGCCAGCGAGAGAACUGUUGUUAAGGAACUCGGCAAAAUGACCCCGUAACUUAGGGAUAAGGGGUGCCACCAUCAGGUGGCCGCAGAGAAUAGGCCCAAGCGACUGUUUACCAAAAACAUAGGUUUCUGCUAAGUCGCAAGACGAUGUAUAGGAGCUGACGCCUGCCCGGUGCUGGAAGGUUAAGGGGAUCUGUUAGAGCAAUCGAAGCAGUGAACUUAAGCCCCAGUAAACGGCGGCCGUAACUAUAACGGUCCUAAGGUAGCGAAAUUCCUUGUCGGGUAAGUUCCGACCCGCACGAAAGGCGUAACGAUUUGGGCACUGUCUCAACAACAGACUCGGUGAAAUUGUAAUUCCGGUGAAGAUGCCGGAUACCUGCGACAGGACGGAAAGACCCCAUGGAGCUUUACUGUAGCUUGACAUUGGGUCUUGGUACUACAUGUACAGGAUAGGUGGGAGGCUUUGAAACCAGGACGCCAGUUUUGGCGGAGCCAUCCUUGGGAUACCACCCUUGUAGUACUGGGACUCUAACCAUAGGCCAUGAAUCUGGUCUUGGGACACUGUCAGGUGGGCAGUUUGACUGGGGCGGUCGCCUCCCAAAAGGUAACGGAGGCGCUCAAAGGUUCUCUCAGUACGGUCGGAAAUCGUACGUAGAGUGUAAAGGCAAAAGAGAGCUUGAUUGCAAGACAUACAGGUCGAGCAAGGAUGAAAAUCGGACUUAGUGAUCCGGUGGUUCUGCGUGGAAGGGCCAUCGCUCAACGGAUAAAAGCUACCCUGGGGAUAACAGGCUUAUCUCCCCCAAGAGUCCACAUCGACGGGGAGGUUUGGCACCUCGAUGUCGGCUCAUCACAUCCUGGGGCUGUAGUAGGUCCCAAGGGUUGGGCUGUUCGCCCAUUAAAGUGGUACGCGAGCUGGGUUCAGAACGUCGUGAGACAGUUCGGUCCCUAUCCGUCGCAGGCGUAGGAAAUUUGAGAAGACCUGUCCUUAGUACGAGAGGACCGGGAUGGACGUACCUCUGGUGUACCAGUUGUCCUGCCAAGGGCAUGGCUGGGUAGCUAUGU
RNAcentral lists this ribosomal RNA (1200 nucleotides) under Clostridioides difficile. RNAcentral describes it as "partial 23S ribosomal RNA". It matches the Rfam family "Bacterial large subunit ribosomal RNA", at positions 1543 to 2754 of the family's 2925-position model. Lineage: Bacteria; Bacillati; Bacillota; Clostridia; Peptostreptococcales; Peptostreptococcaceae. The record is from RNAcentral.